AGGGCACCACCAGGAGUGGAGCCCGCGGCUUAAUUUGACUCAACACGGGAAAACUCACCCGGCCCGGACACUGGAAGGAUUGACAGAUUGAGAGCUCUUUCUUGAUUCAGUGGGUGGUGGUGCAUGGCCGUUCUUAGUUGGUGGAGUGAUUUGUCUGGUUAAUUCCGAUAACGAACGAGACUCUAGCCUACUAAAUAGAUCGUCGGCUUACAAACGCCGGCGAGACUUCUUAGAGGGACAGGCGGUGAUUCAACCGCACGAAACAGAGCAAUAACAGGUCUGUGAUGCCCUUAGAUGUCCGGGGCCGCACGCGCGCUACACUGAAGUGAUCAGCGUGCUUUUUCAACCUACUCUGUCAAGAGUGGGGAACCCAAUGAACCUUCUUCGUGAUUGGGAUAGGGGAUUGUAAUUGUUCCCCUUGAACGAGGAAUUCCCAGUAAGCGCGAGUCAUAAGCUCGCGUUGAUUACGUCCCUGCCCUUUGUACACACCGCCCGUCGCUACUACCGAUUGAAUGUUUU
This 519-nucleotide ribosomal RNA is filed under the name uncultured eukaryote. RNAcentral's name for it is "SSU rRNA". It matches the Rfam family "Eukaryotic small subunit ribosomal RNA", at positions 1161 to 1699 of the family's 1831-position model. The record is from RNAcentral.